UACGUAGGUGGCAAGCGUUGUCCGGAAUUAUUGGGCGUAAAGAGCUCGUAGGCGGCUUGGUAAGUCGGAUGUGAAAUCUCCUGGCUCAACUAGGAGGGGCCAUUCGAUACUGCCAUGGCUUGAGUCCGGUAGAGGGAUGUGGAAUUCCCGGUGUAGCGGUGAAAUGCGCAGAUAUCGGGAGGAACACCUAUAGCGAAGGCAGCAUCCUGGGCCGGUACUGACGCUGAGGAGCGAAAGCGUGGGGAGCAAACAGG
RNAcentral lists this unclassified non-coding RNA (254 nucleotides) under uncultured Acidimicrobiia bacterium. RNAcentral's name for it is "contains 16S-23S intergenic spacer region". It matches the Rfam family "Bacterial small subunit ribosomal RNA", at positions 524 to 776 of the family's 1533-position model. Lineage: Bacteria; Bacillati; Actinomycetota; Acidimicrobiia. The record is from RNAcentral.